UCCUUUGUAGCUCAGUUGGUAGAGCAUGGUGCUUGCAAUGCUGGGGUUGUGGGUUUGAUUCCCACUGGGGAC
RNAcentral lists this transfer RNA (72 nucleotides) under Salmo salar (Atlantic salmon). It matches the Rfam family "tRNA". Rfam says of the family: Transfer RNA (tRNA) molecules are approximately 80 nucleotides in length. The record is from Rfam by way of RNAcentral. Lineage: Eukaryota; Metazoa; Chordata; Actinopteri; Salmoniformes; Salmonidae.